This 1015-nucleotide ribosomal RNA is filed under the name Thermovibrio sp. HB-2. RNAcentral's name for it is "bacterial SSU rRNA". It matches the Rfam family "Bacterial small subunit ribosomal RNA", at positions 460 to 1467 of the family's 1533-position model. Lineage: Bacteria; Pseudomonadati; Aquificota; Aquificia; Desulfurobacteriales; Desulfurobacteriaceae. The record is from RNAcentral.
CCCCCACCCGUGACGGUACCCGGAGAGGAAGGGACGGCUUAACUACGUGCCAGCAGCCGCGGUAAUACGUAGGUCCCGAGCGUUGCGCGAAAUUACUGGGCGUAAAGUGCGCGUAGGCGGGCCAGUAAGUCAGAGGUGAAAGCCCCCGGCUCAACCGGGGAAUUGCCUCUGAUACUGCUGGCCUAGGGUCCGGAAGACGCUGGCGGAAUUCCCGGUGUAGCGGUGAAAUGCAUAGAUAUCGGGAGGAACACCGGUGGCGAAGGCGGCCAGCGAGGACGGUACCGACGCUGAGGCGCGAAAGCGUGGGGAGCAAACCGGAUUAGAUACCCGGGUAGUCCACGCUGUAAACGAUGGGUGCUGGGCGUUGUGCCCGAGAGGGUGCAGUGCCGAAGGUAACCCGUUAAGCACCCCGCCUGGGGAGUACGGCCGCAAGGCUGAAACUCAAAGGAAUAGACGGGGGCCCGCACAAGCGGUGGAACAUGUGGUUUAAUUCAAUGCUCGCGAAGAACCUUACCAGGCUUGACAUGCCGGGGUAGCCUGCGAAGCAGGUCGUGCCCCUUCGGGGGGCCACCGGCACAGGUGGUACAUGGCGUCGUCAGCUCGUGCGUAGGUGUUGGGUUAAGUCCCGCAACGAGCGCAACCCCUGUCCCUAGUUGCCAGCGGGUAAAGCCGGGCACACUAGGGAGACUGCCGGCGACAAGCCGGAGGAAGGGGGGGAUGACGUCAGGUCAGUAUGCCCCUUACGCCCUGGGCUACACACGUGCUACAAUGGCCGGGACAGAGGGAUUGCGAAGCCGCGAGGUGGAGCAAAUCUCAGAAACCCGGUCCCAGUUCGGAUUGCAGGCUGCAACUCGCCUGCAUGAGGCUGGAAUCGCUAGUAACGGCCGGUCAGCUACACGGCCGUGAAUACGUUCCCGGGCCUUGUACUCACCGCCCGUCACACCCCGGAAGCUGGCUCUACCAGAAGUCCCCGGGCUAACCCCCCGCAAGGGGGGAGGCAGGGGCCGAAGUAGGG